This 249-nucleotide ribosomal RNA is filed under the name uncultured bacterium. RNAcentral's name for it is "partial 16S ribosomal RNA". It matches the Rfam family "Bacterial small subunit ribosomal RNA", at positions 28 to 285 of the family's 1533-position model. The record is from RNAcentral.
GACGAACGCUGGCGGCGUGCUUAACACAUGCAAGUCGAACGGAAGUAGCAAUACUUCAGUGGCGCACGGGUGAGGAACACGUAGCUCAUCUGCCCUCAAGUGUGGGAUAACGCUCCGAAAGGAGUGCUAAUACCGCAUAAGCUCCCGGAUUGCAGAGGUCUGGGAGAAAAGGAGUAAUUCGCUUGAGGAGGAGGCUGCGGCCCAUCAGGUAGUUGGUGCGGUAACGGCGCACCAAGCCGACGACGGGUA